Molecule: non-coding RNA, 71 nt
Organism: Parelaphostrongylus tenuis
Lineage: Eukaryota; Metazoa; Nematoda; Chromadorea; Rhabditida; Metastrongylidae
Source: the annotation of a GenBank genome assembly
ACUUCGGUAGUGUAGUGGUAGCACGCGUCACCGGAAUGGAUGAGACGCGUUUUCAACUCCCGUCUGAGGCG